Molecule: long non-coding RNA, 1154 nt
Filed under: Oryza brachyantha (malo sina)
Lineage: Eukaryota; Viridiplantae; Streptophyta; Magnoliopsida; Poales; Poaceae
Description: long non-coding RNA (OBRA_LNC002381)
Source: RNAcentral
GCCGCCAUCGAUCUAUCUCUAUCACAGGCGAUAGACCUCGGAGUUAAUCAGCUGAGCAACUCACUAAUUGUCUUGUUCUCUCGUGAAUUAAUUCUUCAGGUGAUAGGCAUGCAUGGAAUUAAGCCAAGUUACUGAUGACUAGUCCAAUCGAUCCAAGUCACACUCCGUGCAGUAUUUGUAUCUUGGUAGCUAGCUAGUCUAGCAGCUGACUUCAAAUCCUCCUCGAUCUGGAGCACGACCUGAAAUUAAUCAAGACAAAUCAAUCAGGAAUCCGAGAGGCAUGUAAAUACGGAUCGAUGGAUCUGUGUGCCAUAGGACAGACAAAAAGACCUGCAGCUCUGAUCAGAUCCUAUCUAACAAAGAUACAGAUCAAAGGGGAAAGAAACGAAAAGAGAGAAAAAAUAAGAGAGAAAAUAACAAUUAUCAAAAACAAACUUGUAUAUGCAGUCGUUCGUUGCACAUACUCACAAGCAAAGCCGAGGCAUGGUGGCAGCUAUUACGAUCUGAAUAAACGCCAAGCAAAUUAACUAUAGCUUGGAAUAGGGCAUGGAGAACGAGCUGAGCUGGUAGAAGAAGAAUCAACAGCUAGCACACAGCAGAUGAAACCAAAAGAAAUCAUAUGCAAGCCAUCUGAGACGCAGAGAACCGAACAAAACAAGUCAAAUAGAGGUAGCCAGCAACUCUUGUUGAAAAAAAGGAAGAGGAGAGUACUCUAGUUUGAGGCGAUGGAGAUUGAAACAUAGUAUAGAUAUUGGGGCGAUGGAUGAGCUAGCAAACACGAACCGGGGUUAUAAUAAAUUCGAAAAGCCAAAAAAGAGACUGCAGCUAUCUAGCAAGCUGGUAGUAGCUUAGUCGUCUCCUCGUCUUCUUGCUGCUGGGAUCGAUGCUAUCUGCAGUAGUACGUAGUACGCUCCAAUUCUCUCCAAGUUUUGUUUGGAGCUAGCUACACAUGGUGAUGACGACGACGAUGAUGUAAGCUAGCCAGCUCUAUUUCUAUGGCUGCGCUGCCGCCGGUGUUAUGCGGCGAGGAGGAGAGGAGGAGGAGGAGGAGGAAGAAGACGAGAAGGUAGAAGAGGAGUCUCGCUGCAGGUGGGUGAGUUGCAUGAGUGGAUGGUUGGUUCUGAUCGAGCUGAGCUUUAGCUAGCUAGGUCUCU